UUGUUUUCUAUUGCUAAUUACCGGACAGAUCGAGGGUCUGGAGGCUCUGGCAGUACUGCAAAGAUUCAAGCGUCAUUGUUGGGAGAGACAGGAUCAGGCGAUUCUCCCCUUCUCCUUUUCUUUACUCCUCUUUGUCUCCUUGAUUCUUUGUUGCUCGGUGAUUCUUUCGAGGGUAUACGGAGAUUGAGAGGUUUUCAGCAAUUUGAGGUAACUGAACAUUCUUUCUUGUGCAAUAUUUUAGCUUUUUCUGCGUUGGGUUUUCUUUUUCUGAUCCUGAAUGUGUCACGUUGAAUGAGCUGAUUGUUCAGGUAAAACACCUUCUUAGUGCUUUUGAAUUGGGAUUUAUAGUCGGUCUAUCAUGGAAAUGUUUAUUAUGUCGUCCCUUUUGUUUGGUUCUAUAAAUUAGUUUCUUCCUCGUUUGAAAGCUAUUACCUUUAGGAAUCUCUCUCUCUUCCUCCCCACCCCCCAAAAAAAAAAAGGAACACCAAUUGUUGAA
This is a long non-coding RNA of Macadamia integrifolia, 496 nucleotides long. RefSeq lists it as uncharacterized. Lineage: Eukaryota; Viridiplantae; Streptophyta; Magnoliopsida; Proteales; Proteaceae. The transcript has 2 exons. The record is from RefSeq and is a predicted model, not a curated record.